GUCGAACGCUGGCGGCGUGCUUAACACAUGCAAGUCGAACGGAAAGGCCCUGCUUUUGUGGGUUGCUCGAGUGGCGAACGGGUGAGUAACACGUGAGUAACCUGCCCUUGACUUUGGGAUAACUUCAGGAAACUGGGGCUAAUACCGGAUAGGAGCUCCUGCUGCAUGGUGGGGGUUGGAAAGUUUCGGCGUUUGGGGAUGGACUCGCGGCUUAUCAGCUUGUUGGUGGGGUAGUGGCUUACCAAGGCUUUGACGGGUAGCCGGCCUGCGAGGGUGACCGGCCACAUUGGGACUGAGAGAGGGCCCAGACGGCUACGGGAGGCAGCAGGGGGGAAUAUUGCACAAUGGGCGGAAGCCUGAUGCAGCAACGCCGCGUGCGGGAUGACGGCCUUCGGGUUGUAAACCGCUUUCGCCUGUGACGAAGCGUGAGUGACGGUAAUGGGUAAAGAAGCACCGGCUAACUACGUG
This 468-nucleotide ribosomal RNA is filed under the name uncultured bacterium. RNAcentral describes it as "partial 16S ribosomal RNA". It matches the Rfam family "Bacterial small subunit ribosomal RNA", at positions 28 to 507 of the family's 1533-position model. The record is from RNAcentral.